UGGUUCUGGCAUNGAUGAAGAACGCAGCGAAAUGCGAUAAGUAAUGUGAAUUGCAGAAUUCAGUGAAUCAUCGAAUCUUUGAACGCACAUUGCGCCCCUCGGAAUUCCGGGGGGCAUGCCUGUUCGAGCGUCAUUACUCCUCUCAAGCGUAGCUUGGCCUUGGGCCCCGUCCGGCGAGGGCGGGCCCGAAAGCGAGCGGCGGUCCGGUGGGACUUCGGGUGCAGUCAAAUCAUUUCCACACCGAACGUCCCCCUGGACCCGCCGGGACCUCUGACCUAAACAAUUGACCUCGGAUCAGGUAGGGAUACCCGCUGA
Molecule: unclassified non-coding RNA, 315 nt
Filed under: uncultured fungus
Lineage: Eukaryota; Fungi
Description: partial contains 5.8S ribosomal RNA and internal transcribed spacer 2
Rfam family: 5.8S ribosomal RNA (bases 1-133)
Source: RNAcentral